AAGAGAUGCGCUCAUCCUUUAGCAUCGGUGGGUCUUGCGAAUCUUUCAAGAGCAAAGGUCAUCUUCUUUGGGUGGUGGCUAGAAAUAUAGUCAUACAUCGGCCUACAACAAAAUUCCUGACGGCAAUCGCCUCUUUGGAGAUGCUCUAUUAACCAUAUUUACAACUGAAGAUUGCUCCCUUAAAAGUAACAUGACCUGUGCUUGCAUCGGUCCAGAGCUCUGUAUAUUUCUACUAAUAUCAUGGGGACAAUAAUAUAGGUUUGUCCCUCGAUUACCUCUAUCAUUGUUCUGGCAAUCAUGUCUAGUCGAGUAUGGAUUUUUCCUCUUUGCAUCGUGAAGAUCAGCAGUCCCAAGAAACACACAAUGAAAACAUAAACCCUGUGGUGAAUCCACCCAACCGAAGUGAUGGCAAAUUCUUUGUGAAACAACUGAUAUGAUUUGCUAUGUCCAUAGCGUUCAUACAGAAAAUCAAAAAAAAUGUAAGACUUCUUCAAAUAACCUAGUUCAUCGUACUUCUUGAUCCCAAACAUUUUAAGAAAAAUUGUAGGGUAAGCGAUUUUCAGGUACAAGCAGACGGGGAUUAUCCCAAGGGAUUCUAGAAAUCCUCCAAUUUCCUCCAAGAGUGGGGUCAUCUCUAAGUUUUCAAAUCAAAAGACGAUCAUUUUCUCAUCCUAAAACAUAGUAGCAGUCUCAAUAAUCUAUCUACAUGGCUGAACGUCCAUCAAGGACGACAAGUUGCCCAGUAUCCUUCUUAUAUGAUUCCCAUCACACUGAGGGAGGUCGUUCCACGAAUCGAUCAAGUUGGACGGAAUUAUUUGGACCAUACCUAACCUAGGAAUGUUGUGCAAUAUUUUCUGUAUUAAAAAAAGAGUUAGACCUAACCCCUCAUGAUUUGAUCAAUUACGUGAUAAUAGUCAAUAUGUUGGCACAUUUUCUCCUAGUAAUGCACAUAAUAUUAAUGUAUCCCUCGGGAUGGUAGAGAUCCAUUUUUGACUUUGGACAAGAUUUAUCUAAACGGAUUUAAUACUCCAGGGGUAUUUAAUCCAUCCUAGGCCUAACUUGAUACAUGCAAAGUUUCGAUCAGACUAGGCUUCUAAAGGUCUAGCUGGUACUCUUAAGCGAACAAAACUUAAGAGGGACAGAUGCGGGACCGUCGACUGCACAGUUAAUCGACUAGUCUACCGCUAAUAAGACUAUCCGAUUUAAAAAGGUAUUUUAGAAAGUGCAGAUAAUCAUCAAGCGUCGCUAUGUUGAUAGUAGGCAUGAGUGAAAUAUGAUGUUGAAAGCAUGUAUAUAAAAACGAUAGAACGUAGCCAAAUAAUUUUACAUUAUGAAGAAACACAUAAAGACAAUAUUUGAUAAUGCGAUAAAUAAGUAAGGAAGAGAAGGAACAGAAAAGUAAAUAGUUAGAAAGGUUCUCAAAUAGACAUAAAAUUCAAAAAAACAUGAUUGUACAGUAAAGCAAAUAAAGGAGAGAGGAAAGGAAAGGAAAGAUAAUGGUGUAACAAUUUCGAGCAAGUAAAGGGGUGGAGAAAGGGAGGUACGUGAAAGAAAUCAAAUAAAGCAACUGAAUUAACAAUCCCACACAAGCAAAAUUCCAUUAUAGUAAGAGCCUAAGUAUCCCCAGCAGAGUCGCUGUCACGGCCAAAAAUCCACUUUAGCACAUGAUGGCGCCUAACGCUUCCGUCAGGCAAGCCAACAGUGAUUUAUCAAUUUGAUUGCUCAUUUUAUUACUUUUGAAAGCAUAAAUUUUAAUAAGAAAAGGAGAUUUACACUUCUAAAUCACGGGAACGUACAUCAUUUAUAAUUAAUAAAAGAAAUGAAAGGCGAUAAUAAUGUAUGAAACACUAAGCAUCAACUAGUAUAACCCCCAAAACCCGGUAUCACAAGUGCACGAGCAAUGUAUAAUAUCAUGUUGGAUAUUUGUGGUAUAACCUUCUCUCUUCUAUAUUGCCUCAUUACUCUUAUUGGAGCAUAAGGGUAAAUUUCUCGUAACCCUAUCAACAUAAGAUGAUUAGCUUUCUAAGAACGUAUUAUGAAUUCAUUGCUUGGAAACCAUCCGAACAUCCAUUGUACAUGUUCCUCGGUCUAAUUGCUGAAGAGAUGCACUCAUCCUUUAGCAUCGAUGGGUCUUGCGAAUCUUUCAAGGGCAAAGGUCAUCUUCUUUGGGUGGUGGCUAGAAAUAUAGUCAUACAUCGGCCUACAACAAAAUUCCUAACGGCAAUCGCCUCUUUGGAGAUGCUCUAUUAACCAUAUUUGCAACUGAAGAUUGCUCCCUUAAAAGUAACAUGCCCCGUGCUUGCAUCGGUCUAGAGCUUUGU
This 2321-nucleotide long non-coding RNA is filed under the name Nicotiana tabacum (common tobacco). Its description in RNAcentral is "long non-coding RNA (NTAB_LNC003810)". The record is from RNAcentral. Lineage: Eukaryota; Viridiplantae; Streptophyta; Magnoliopsida; Solanales; Solanaceae.